Picea glauca (white spruce) is the source of this 45-nucleotide non-coding RNA. NCBI's taxonomy places the organism in Eukaryota, Viridiplantae, Streptophyta, Pinopsida, Pinales, Pinaceae. The record is from Rfam.
AAAACGGUGUCUUUAGACACCACCAAUAUUCUACAAAGUUUAUUU